Molecule: ribosomal RNA, 918 nt
Filed under: uncultured archaeon
Lineage: Archaea
Description: bacterial SSU rRNA
Rfam family: Archaeal small subunit ribosomal RNA
Source: RNAcentral
UCCGGUUGAUCCUGCCGGAGGCCACUGCUAUCGGGCUCCGACUAAGCCAUGCGAGUCUAGGGGCUCUUCGGAGCACCGGCGGACUGCUCAGUAACACGUGGACAACCUACCCUCGGGUGGGGGAUAACCUCGGGAAACUGAGGCUAAUACCCCAUAGACCUCGGAUACUGGAAUGUUCCGAGGCUGAAAGCUCUGGCGCCCGAGGAUGGGUCUGCGACCUAUCAGGUAGUUGGUGGUGUAAAGGACCACCAAGCCUACGACGGGUACGGGCCCUGAGAGGGGAAGCCCGGAGAUGGACUCUGAGACACGAGUCCAGGCCCUACGGGGCGCAGCAGGCGCGAAACCUUCGCAAUGUGCGAAAGCGCGACGAGGGGAGCCCGAGUGCCCUUCCUUCGGGGAGGGCUUUUCUGGAGCCUAAAAAGCUCCAGGAAUAAGGGCUGGGCAAGACGGGUGCCAGCCGCCGCGGUAAUACCCGCAGCUCAAGUGGUGGCCGCUUUUAUUGAGCCUAAAGCGUCCGUAGCCGGACCCGUAAAUCCCUGGGUAAAUCCUGGCGCUCAACGUCAGGAAUUCCGGGGAGACUGCGGGUCUUGGGACCGGGAGAGGCUGGAGGUACUCCCGGGGUAGCGGUGAAAUGCUGUAAUCCUGGGGGGACCACCUGUGGCGAAAGCGUCCAGCUUGAACGGCUCCGACGGUGAGGGACGAAGGCCAGGGGAGCGAACCGGAUUAGAUACCCGGGUAGUCCUGGCUGUAAACGCUGCCCGCUUGGUGUUGCCGGUCUUUCGGGGGCCGGCAGUGCCGGAGCGAAGGUGUUAAGCGGGCCGCUUGGGAAGUACGGCCGCAAGGCUGAAACUUAAAGGAAUUGGCGGGAGAGCACUGCAACGGGAGGAGCGUGCGGUUUAAUUGGAUUCAACGCCCGGG